GGUAACGUGGCCGAGCGGUCUAAGGCGCUGGUUUAAGGCACCAGUCUCCUCAAAGGCGUGGGUUCGAAUCCCACCGCUGCCA
This 82-nucleotide transfer RNA is filed under the name Ixodes scapularis (black-legged tick). RNAcentral's name for it is "tRNA-Leu for anticodon AAG". It matches the Rfam family "tRNA". Rfam says of the family: Transfer RNA (tRNA) molecules are approximately 80 nucleotides in length. Their secondary structure includes four short double-helical elements and three loops (D, anti-codon, and T loops). Further hydrogen bonds mediate the characteristic L-shaped molecular structure. tRNAs have two regions of fundamental functional importance: the anti-codon, which is responsible for specific mRNA codon recognition, and the 3' end, to which the tRNAs corresponding amino acid is attached (by aminoacyl-tRNA synthetases). tRNAs cope with the degeneracy of the genetic code in two manners: having more than one tRNA (with a specific anti-codon) for a particular amino acid; and 'wobble' base-pairing, i.e. permitting non-standard base-pairing at the 3rd anti-codon position. Lineage: Eukaryota; Metazoa; Arthropoda; Arachnida; Ixodida; Ixodidae. The record is from RNAcentral.